AAUAAGGAGAUAGAAAAGUAAAAUCUAAUUCAAGCUAAAAGAGUAGUCAGUCCUCCAUAUCUGCAGGUUCAAACAAAGAUUGAAAACAUUUUUAAAAAAGGAAAAAAAAAAAACCCUUUGGAAAGUUUCAAAAAGCAAAACUUGAAUUUGCCAUACACCAGCAAGUAUUUACAUAGCACUUACAUUUGCAUUACGUUAUAUACUACAAAUGUGUACAUAUUAUAUACAUAUGUGCAUAUUAAAUAGAUAUUAAAAGCCUGGCAUGCUACAGUUCAUGGGGUCACAAACAGUCAGGUCAGACAUGACUUAGCGACUAAACAAUAACAUUAUAAGUAAUUUAGAGAUGAUUUACAGUAUAUGGGAGUAUGUGCAUAAGCUAGAUGCAAAUACUGUGCCAUUUUAUACAAAGGCCUUCUUAUCUGAGUGUAAAAGAACCAAUGCCCCACAGAUACCAAGGGUGACCAUACUUUGAGUCUAAUCAAGGAGUAGAUAAAUAAGCACAAAACACCACAUCAGGUACUACAAUGCAGAGAAACAGAGAAACAAAAAAACUCAUGAAACACAAUGGAAGGAACAAUUUUUGUGCAAGCUCAGUCAGUCAGUCAUAUCUGACUCUUUGUAACCCCAUGGACUAUAGCCCUUCAGUCUCCCCUGUCCAUGGGAUUUCCCAGGCAAGAAUACCGGAGUGGGCUGCCAUUUCCUUCUUAAAACAAUGUGACUGCCUGCCAGCUGAGUCCAGUACCACAUUAAGAAAAUAA
Molecule: long non-coding RNA, 758 nt
Filed under: Capra hircus (goat)
Lineage: Eukaryota; Metazoa; Chordata; Mammalia; Artiodactyla; Bovidae
Description: lncRNA (ENSCHIG00010015447.1)
Source: RNAcentral